Molecule: ribosomal RNA, 1416 nt
Filed under: uncultured bacterium
Lineage: Bacteria
Description: bacterial SSU rRNA
Rfam family: Bacterial small subunit ribosomal RNA
Source: RNAcentral
AUGAACGCUGGCGGUAUGCCUAACACAUGCAAGUCGAACGGUCACCUUCGGGUGAUAGUGGCGGACGGGUGAGUAACACGUGAGAAUCUGCCCUUAGGUCGGGGACAACAGUUGGAAACGACUGCUAAUACCGGAUGAGCUGAAAAGUAAAAGAUUUAUCGCCUAGGGAAGAGCUCGCGGCUGAUUAGCUAGUUGGUGGGGUAAAAGCCUACCAAGGCAACGAUCAGUAGCUGGUCUGAGAGGAUGAGCAGCCACACUGGGACUGAGACACGGCCCAGACUCCUACGGGAGGCAGCAGUGGGGAAUUUUCCGCAAUGGGCGAAAGCCUGACGGAGCAAUACCGCGUGAGGGAGGAAGGCUCUUGGGUUGUAAACCUCAAAACUUAGGGAAGAAGAAAGUGACGGUACCUAAUAUAAGCAUCGGCUAACUCCGUGCCAGCAGCCGCGGUAAUACGGAGGAUGCAAGCGUUAUCCGGAAUCAUUGGGCGUAAAGAGUCCGUAGGUGGCACUUCAAGUCCGCAUUUAAAGACCGAGGCUCAACCUCGGGCAGGGUGUGGAAACUGAAGAGCUAGAGUACAGGAGGGGUAGAGGGAAUUUCCUAGUGUAGCGGUGAAAUGCGUAGAGAUUAGGAAGAACACCAGUGGCGAAGGCGCUCUACUGGACAUGUACUGACACUGAGGGACGAAAAGCUAGGGUAGCGAAAGGGGAUUAGAUACCCCUGUAGUCCUAGCGGUAAACGAUGGAUACUAAGUGUAGCGGGUAUAAACUCCUGCUGUGCUGAAGCAAACGCGUUAAGUAUCCCGCCUGGGGAGUACGCACGCAAGUGUGAAACUCAAAGGAAUUGACGGGGACCCGCACAAGCGGUGGAGUAUGUGGUUUAAUUCGAUGCAACGCGAAGAACCUUACCAAGACUUGACAUCCGAUGAAUCUCUCUGAAAGGAGAGAGUGCCUUAGGGAACAUCGUGACAGGUGGUGCAUGGCUGUCGUCAGCUCGUGUCGUGAGAUGUUGGGUUAAGUCCCGCAACGAGCGCAACCCUCGUCCUUAGUUGCCAGCAUUAAGUUGGGGACUCUAGGGAGACCGCCGGGGAGAACUCGGAGGAAGGUGGGGAUGACGUCAAGUCAGCAUGCCCCUUACGUCUUGGGCUACACACGUACUACAAUGGUUAGGACAAAGGGAUGCGAAACCGCAAGGUGAAGCGAAACCCAUCAAACCUAGCCCCAGUUCAGAUCGUCGGCUGAAACUCGCCGGCGUGAAGGAGGAAUCGCUAGUAAUCGCAGGUCAGCAUACUGCGGUGAAUCCGUUCCCGGGUCUUGUACACACCGCCCGUCACACCAUGGAAGUUGGUAACAUCCGAAGUCGUUACUCCAACCUUUUUUAGGGGGAGGACGCCGAAGGUGGGACUAGUGACUGGGGUGA